UGAGUAACACGUGAGUGACCUGCCUUUUAGACUGGAACAACUUACCGAAAGGUGAGCUAAUGCCGGAUGAGUUAUAUAAGUGCAUGUUUAUAUAGGAAAAGUUGGGGAGACCUGACGCUGAAAGAUGGACUCGCGUCCCAUUAGCUAGUUGGUAGGGGUAAUGGCCUACCAAGGCGACGAUGGGUAGCCGGCCUGAGAGGGUGGCCGGCCACACUGGGACUGAGACACGGCCCAGACUCCUACGGAAGGCAGCAG
Molecule: ribosomal RNA, 255 nt
Filed under: uncultured bacterium
Lineage: Bacteria
Description: partial 16S ribosomal RNA
Rfam family: Bacterial small subunit ribosomal RNA
Source: RNAcentral